This 476-nucleotide ribosomal RNA is filed under the name uncultured bacterium. Its description in RNAcentral is "bacterial SSU rRNA". It matches the Rfam family "Bacterial small subunit ribosomal RNA", at positions 329 to 803 of the family's 1533-position model. The record is from RNAcentral.
UGGCUAACUCCUACGGGAGGCAGCAGUAAGGAAUAUUGGUCAAUGGAGGCAACUCUGAACCAGCCAUGCCGCGUGCAGGAAGACGGCCCUCUGGGUUGUAAACUGCUUUUAUUCGGGAAUAAACCUAUCUACGUGUAGAUAGCUGAAUGUACCGAAGGAAUAAGGAUCGGCUAACUCCGUGCCAGCAGCCGCGGUAAUACGGAGGAUCCAAGCGUUAUCCGGAUUUAUUGGGUUUAAAGGGUGCGUAGGCGGCCUGUUAAGUCAGGGGUGAAAGACGGUAGCUCAACUAUCGCAGUGCCCUUGAUACUGAUGGGCUUGAAUGGACUAGAGGUAGGCGGAAUGUGACAAGUAGCGGUGAAAUGCAUAGAUAUGUCACAGAACACCGAUUGCGAAGGCAGCUUACUAUGGUCCUAUUGACGCUGAGGCACGAAAGCGUGGGGAUCAAACAGGAUUAGAAACCCCGGUAGUCCAGCUGG